UUAACUUUAAAAAGUUGGCGUUUACCUAAGGAGAAGAGUGUGUUUUUAAAAUGGCAAGUGUGGCUGAUCACAGAUCAGUAUUGGUGGAGAUCGCAGAACCACAGGCCAAAAUCACAGGACGUCUAAGAAGAUCCUACAUGGAUAUUUUGGGUUCUCGUUUGGUUGCUGGUGUGAGAAGCAGGAACCUCGAGUCUGUUGCUGUUCCUAGACGAGCGUUGGACGGAUGUUCUCGGA
This is a non-coding RNA of Misgurnus anguillicaudatus (oriental weatherfish), 234 nucleotides long. NCBI's taxonomy places the organism in Eukaryota, Metazoa, Chordata, Actinopteri, Cypriniformes, Cobitidae. The record is from RefSeq and is a predicted model, not a curated record.